Molecule: ribosomal RNA, 459 nt
Filed under: uncultured bacterium
Lineage: Bacteria
Description: bacterial SSU rRNA
Rfam family: Bacterial small subunit ribosomal RNA
Source: RNAcentral
CGGCGUGCUUAACACAUGCAAGUUGCGCGGUGAUCUCAAGAAGUUUUCGGACGGAAAGGGAGAGCAGCAGCGGACGGGUGAGUAAAGCACAAGGACUUGUCCCGAAGAGGGGGACAACUGUGGGAAACCACAGCUAAUACCCCAUAAGCCGAGAGGUGAAAGCAGCGAUGCGCUUUAGGAGAGACUUGUGUCCUAUCAGGUAGUUGGUGAGGUAACGGCUCACCAAGCCGAAGACGGGUAGCCGGACUGAGAGGUUGUACGGCCACAUUGGAACUGAGAGACGGUCCAGACUCCUACGGGAGGCAGCAGUGGGGAAUAUUGGGCAAUGGGGGCCAACCCUGACCCAGCGACGCCGCGUGAGGGAAGACAGCCUUCGGGUUGUAAACCUCUGUUGCAGGGGAAGAAGAAAGUGACGGUACCCUGCGAGGAAGCUCCGGCAAACUACGUGCCAGCCGCGGC